RNAcentral lists this ribosomal RNA (429 nucleotides) under Bacteroidota bacterium. Its description in RNAcentral is "Bacteroidetes bacterium partial 16S ribosomal RNA". It matches the Rfam family "Bacterial small subunit ribosomal RNA", at positions 355 to 776 of the family's 1533-position model. The record is from RNAcentral. Lineage: Bacteria; Pseudomonadati; Bacteroidota.
UAGGGAAUCUUCCGCAAUGGACGCAAGUCUGACGGAGCAACGCCGCGUGAGUGAAGAAGGAUUUCGGUUCGUAAAACUCUGUUGUUAGAGAAGAACAGCGCAUAGAGUAACUGUUAUGCGUGUGACGGUAUCUAACCAGAAAGCCACGGCUAACUACGUGCCAACAGCCGCGGUAAUACGUAGGUGGCAAGCGUUGUCCGGAUUUAUCGGGCGUAAAGCGAGCGCAGGCGGUAAAUUAAGUCUGAUGUGAAAGCCCCCGGCUCAACCGGGGAGGGUCAUUGGAAACUGGUUGACUUGAGUGCAGAAGAGGAGAGUGGAAUUCCAUGUGUAGCGGUGAAAUGCGUAGAUAUAUGGAGGAACACCAGUGGCGAAGGCGACUCUCUGGUCUGUAACUGACGCUGAGGCUCGAAAGCGUGGGUAGCAAACAGG